UAAGUGUUAUAUGCAUUAAUCUUUGGUAUGUGCCUACUAACCGCCAUGUUGGAGAGACAUACACUAGACCAAUGUGGCAUUGUUGCAUUGGGGUUUAAAUUCGUCGUUGAUAUACGAUACUUUAUGCUUUUGUAAGUUACGCAACACGUUCUCAAAACUGACGAGUUUAAAAGCUAGCUUACACUAUCAAAGUUUCUGUGAUCACAG
Paramuricea clavata is the source of this 207-nucleotide non-coding RNA. NCBI's taxonomy places the organism in Eukaryota, Metazoa, Cnidaria, Anthozoa, Malacalcyonacea, Plexauridae. The record is from the annotation of a GenBank genome assembly.